AUUGAACGCUGGCGGCAGGCCUAACACAUGCAAGUCGAGCGGAUGAAGGGAGCUUGCUCCUGGAUUCAGCGGCGGACGGGUGAGUAAUGCCUAGGAAUCUGCCUGGUAGUGGGGGAUAACGUCCGGAAACGGGCGCUAAUACCGCAUACGUCCUGAGGGAGAAAGUGGGGGAUCUUCGGACCUCACGCUAUCAGAUGAGCCUAGGUCGGAUUAGCUAGUUGGUGGGGUAAAGGCCUACCAAGGCGACGAUCCGUAACUGGUCUGAGAGGAUGAUCAGUCACACUGGAACUGAGACACGGUCCAGACUCCUACGGGAGGCAGCAGUCGGGAAUAUUGGACAAGGGGCGAAAGCCUGAUCCAGCCAUGCCGCGUGUGUGAAGAAGGUCUUCGGACUGUAAAGCACGUUAAGUUGGGAGGAAGGGCAGUAAGUUAAUACCUUGCUGUUUUGACGUUACCAACAGAAUAAGCACCGGCUAACUACGUG
This 484-nucleotide ribosomal RNA is filed under the name uncultured bacterium. RNAcentral's name for it is "partial 16S ribosomal RNA". It matches the Rfam family "Bacterial small subunit ribosomal RNA", at positions 30 to 507 of the family's 1533-position model. The record is from RNAcentral.